AUUCUCUCUCUCUUGUCUUGUCUACCGCCAUGUAAGACGUGUCUUUCACCUUCUGCCAUGAUUGUGAGGCCUCCCCAGCCACAUGGAACUGCAGGACUCCCAUACCCUGGGAACACCACAAGCCGCUCCUGAAGGCAAACAGAAGACUCAGAGACAGAACAGCAGAGCCUGAGCCAUAAGGAGUGUCAGCCGUGACCCUUAUGAUGGAUGAGAAGAGGUAUCAUGCCUUUUCCACCCCUACACCUGGAAGGAAGGUUCUGCAGCAAGUUCAUGAGAGACGAUAUGUGGAAUGUAAUCAGAGCAUACCUCUUAAUACUUAAAAGCCUUUGCAGGGAGAUCUCUCUUCCCAUCUCCUUCCUGGAAGACAGAAGCCUUGUGCGAGCCCCUUGUGUGAUGUCACCCCAGCUAGGGCCACCGGACGUUGGUCCUCAGCAGGGAGACUUUGGGUCCUCCACCAGGACCCAGGGCUGACCUGCAUGGCCAGGCCCCAUGGCCUGGGUAGAACCUUGUUUCUGCUCCAGAAUUCAUCUGUGUUCCCCAGUGCUCCCGGGGCCCUUGCACAGACCUCUGCGGCUCCAAAGGCUUCCUGCUGUAAUACUCUGUGCACACAGCUGAAUCCCUGACUCCACUCUGCUGAGAAGGUUGUGCUUUUUUCUAUUUUGUACCGAGGGCAACGGGAGGCCAUGGAACAGUUUCAAAGGA
Molecule: long non-coding RNA, 702 nt
Organism: Homo sapiens (human)
Lineage: Eukaryota; Metazoa; Chordata; Mammalia; Primates; Hominidae
Gene: RPLP0P2
Product: ribosomal protein lateral stalk subunit P0 pseudogene 2
Source: Ensembl